CCUACGGGUGGCAGCAGUGAGGAAUAUUGGUCAAUGGACGAGAGUCUGAACCAGCCAAGUAGCGUGAAGGAUGACUGCCCUAUGGGUUGUAAACUUCUUUUGUCUGGGAGUAAAAUGUUCCACGUGUGGGCUUUUGUAUGUACCCUGUGGAUAAGGAUCGGCUAACUCCGUGUCAGCAGCCGCGGUAAUACGGGGGAUCCGAGCGUUAUCCGGAUUUUUUGGGUUUAAAGGGGGCGUAGGUGGAUUGUUAAGUCCGUUGGGAAAGUUUGCGGGUCAAACGUAAAAGUGCAGUUGAAACUGGCAGUCUUGAGUACAGUAGAGGUGGGCGGAAUGCGUGGUGUAGCGGUGAAAUGCUUAGAUAUCACGAAGAACUCCGAUUGCGAAGGCAGCACACCGGACUGCAACUGACACUGAGGCGCGAAAGUGUGGGUAUCAAACAGGAUUAGAUACCCUAGUAGUC
This 460-nucleotide ribosomal RNA is filed under the name uncultured bacterium. RNAcentral describes it as "partial 16S ribosomal RNA". It matches the Rfam family "Bacterial small subunit ribosomal RNA", at positions 338 to 795 of the family's 1533-position model. The record is from RNAcentral.